This 987-nucleotide long non-coding RNA is filed under the name Homo sapiens (human). RNAcentral's name for it is "HSALNT0194157". Lineage: Eukaryota; Metazoa; Chordata; Mammalia; Primates; Hominidae. The record is from RNAcentral.
UACCUUCCACUGUGAGAGUUACCCGAAGCUCGGCGUCCGUGUUGGUCUAAGGGGCUUCCUAGGCGAUCGGGCAGUGUCUGUCUUCAGCCGCUAAGCCGAGAAGAUCUGGGAAGGAGUCAGUCAGAGAGCCUUGGGACAGAGUUCCAGGGGAUCUGGGAGUGGCUGCCAGUUGUGCUAUGAAACAUUUUCUCAGACUUCAAUUCAGCCUCAAUUUUUACAAUGGAAACUACUGGAAUAAUAGCUAAGUUGUGUUUUCUGCACUGGGGUGUGUUGAUCAAGUUCACCUUUGAUGUUCUUCUUAAAUGGAUAACCUUCUCACAGGCAUUUAGUGGGAAGGCCUCUUUCACAGCAUAAUCUACCCCUGGAUUAGACACCCUUGCAAGGAGAGAACAUGAUCAUUGCCUGUAAAAGUUUACCAGUGUCACCUGAGAUCAUGAGCAUCCUGAAGGCAGGGGUCCUGUCUCAGCCACAUCUGUAUAUUCAGAGACUGGCACCAUGCCUGGUUAAUAGAAGGCAGGUGCAGGAUGAAGCAGGAAACCUGCCAAGAAAGAUGAUAAAUUACCAUUUGGUGCUAGCGACCAGAGCUCUACAAGUACAGGGCUGCCAGGAACUGUGAGGGAGAGUAACCACAAACAAGGAGGGAAAUGACUUCUGAUGACAACUUCAGAGAUGUUUACUUUUUGUCUUCAUUAUCUUUGUAGUGUUUUAAGGAUCUCUGUUCAUUUUGUAACCUACAAAAUGAAGUGCUAUUUUAAAACAAUCAUAUACUGGCUCAAAAUAUUCUAUUACAUCUGCUGAGGUCAAAUUUAAAAAUUAGAGUUUAGAGGGAGCUGUUCAGAGGAAGGAAGCGGAUGACGUAAGUAGACAAAUGACAUAAAGCAGAGGUGAAAUGUGGCUGCAGCUUCAUUUGAGGGAGCACCUGGGCUCAACUCGGAGGAAGCACUCUGCCCCAGAUCAAUCGCAUUGACAGGGCCAUACUCAUAUUGU